RNAcentral lists this long non-coding RNA (82 nucleotides) under Aedes aegypti (yellow fever mosquito). Its description in RNAcentral is "lncRNA AAEL028712". It matches the Rfam family "Sphinx_ conserved region 1", at positions 1 to 82 of the family's 100-position model. The record is from RNAcentral. Lineage: Eukaryota; Metazoa; Arthropoda; Insecta; Diptera; Culicidae.
GCGCGAUGGUUUUUGGUGAUUAUCCGGCGGAGUACAAUUCGAAGAUCCACGGACCUUACGAUCCUGCCCGUUACUACGGCAA